GACGAACGCUGGCGGUGUGCUUAACACAUGCAAGUCGAACGGUAAGGCCCUUUCGGGGGUACACGAGUGGCGAACGGGUGAGUAACACGUGAGUAACCUGCCCUCAACUCUGGGAUAACAGUCGGAAACGGUUGCUAAUACUGGAUAUGAGCUUGCAAGGCAUCUUGUGGGUUGGAAAGAUUUUUUUGGUUGGGGAUGGACUCGCGGCCUAUCAGCUUGUUGGUGAGGUAGUGGCUCACCAAGGCUUCGACGGGUAGCCGGCCUGAGAGGGCGACCGGCCACAUUGGGACUGUGAUACGGCCCAAACUCCUACGGGAGGCAGCAGUGGGGAAUAUUGCACAAUGGACGGAAGUCUGAUGCAGCAACGCCGCGUGCGGGAUGACGGCCUUCGGGUUGUAAACCGCUUUCAAUUGUGACGAAGCUUUUUGUGACGGUAGCAGGAGAAGAAGCACCGGCUAACUACGUG
This 466-nucleotide ribosomal RNA is filed under the name uncultured bacterium. Its description in RNAcentral is "partial 16S ribosomal RNA". It matches the Rfam family "Bacterial small subunit ribosomal RNA", at positions 28 to 507 of the family's 1533-position model. The record is from RNAcentral.